AAGGACGUAGAAUAAUGGUAGUUCGGUAGCGUGUUAAGUUAUCGGUGUUGGUUCGAAUCCAGCCGUCUUUG
This 71-nucleotide transfer RNA is filed under the name Pedobacter sp. HDW13. Its description in RNAcentral is "tRNA-Asn". It matches the Rfam family "tRNA". Rfam says of the family: Transfer RNA (tRNA) molecules are approximately 80 nucleotides in length. Their secondary structure includes four short double-helical elements and three loops (D, anti-codon, and T loops). The record is from RNAcentral. Lineage: Bacteria; Pseudomonadati; Bacteroidota; Sphingobacteriia; Sphingobacteriales; Sphingobacteriaceae.